Zophobas morio is the source of this 363-nucleotide long non-coding RNA. RefSeq lists it as uncharacterized. The record is from RefSeq and is a predicted model, not a curated record. NCBI's taxonomy places the organism in Eukaryota, Metazoa, Arthropoda, Insecta, Coleoptera, Tenebrionidae. The transcript is spliced from 2 exons.
GUACAAUCAGGUGCUAUAAAUUCGAACCUGAAUCGCUUUUGGCGUAGUACUUUUCUGCACCGUUUCUGCAAAAGUUUGUUGAAUCAAAAUGAAAGCCGUCGUUUUAAUCUUUGUUCUUGCUUUGACCGCCGUCUAUGGCUUCUAUUUGCAACCCAAUUUGUCUGGACAGGCCGGUGCCUACAAAAGCAACGAACAGCUUUUCAAAGCUUUGAGUGACUACUUCUAUGCCUUGAGCACUCGAGCUGUUAACGGUGUUGCUGCCACCAGAGGGUAGAUUCGAUAACUUUUAAAUACGAUUAUUGGAGUUGUGGUAUGACUAUGUAUUAGAUACAAUAUAAUUAUUAAUAAAAACAUAAAAAAACA